AGGACGAACGCUGGCGGCGUGCUUAACACAUGCAAGUGGAGCGACGAACCAGGGCUUGCCCUGGGGCAGAGCCGCGAACGGGUGAGUAACACGUGGGUUACCUGCCUUGAUGACUGGGACAACCCGGGGAAACUCGGGCUAAUACCGGAUGUGCCCGCAAGGGGAAAGGAAGCUUCGGCCUCCGCAUCAAGAUGGGCCCGCGGCCCAUUAGCUUGUUGGUGAGGUAACGGCUCACCAAGGCUUCGAUGGGUAGCUGGUCUGAGAGGACGAUCAGCCACACUGGGACUGAGACACGGCCCAGACUCCUACGGGAGGCAGCAGUGGGGAAUCUUGCGCAAUGCGCGAAAGCGUGACGCAGCAACGCCGCGUGGGGGAAGAAGGCUUUCGGGUUGUAAACCCCUUUCAGUUGGGACGAAGCUUCUUCGGUGAAUAGCCGAACGGAGUGACGGUACCUUCACAAGAAGCACCGGCUAACUACGUGCCAGCAGCCGCGGU
This 495-nucleotide ribosomal RNA is filed under the name uncultured bacterium. RNAcentral describes it as "SSU rRNA". It matches the Rfam family "Bacterial small subunit ribosomal RNA", at positions 26 to 521 of the family's 1533-position model. The record is from RNAcentral.